GAGUUGAAUUUUUAAUUUUUUGAGGAACCUCCAUACUGUUUUCUAUAAUGGCUGUACCUGUUUACAUUCCUAAUAGCCGUGUAGGGGGGUUCC
This is a long non-coding RNA of Mustela erminea (ermine), 93 nucleotides long. RefSeq lists it as uncharacterized. The record is from RefSeq and is a predicted model, not a curated record. Lineage: Eukaryota; Metazoa; Chordata; Mammalia; Carnivora; Mustelidae. The transcript is spliced from 3 exons.